GAUAGGGUUAGAAGAAUGAGUGAGUUUGCUAGAGCUGCAUUUUCCAGGCGACGUUUGCAAUUGCAGGAAGGAAUUGUAUGAAUGAUGAUGGAUGGUAGAUGUGAGAAUGUGGGGGUACGAAUGUGGGGGUGUUUCUGAAUGGUAAUUUUUGUUGAACAUUGUGUUGUGAUGGGGCUACCAACCCUUAACUGUUUUGGAGUUUAAAUUGGAAGUGCCCUUCUGGUACGAGGCCUGACCGGAGGCUUUUAAUCUGGUACCACGGGUAACCAGGAGCCCACGGAACUUGUUCCGUCCUGGUUAGUUGGUGCGGCCCUUCGGGGAGUAUCGUGGUGGUUGUGGUUUAACACCCAAAUGCGGGUAGAGCAUCGCUCGACGUGGAGUUGCGUCAUACAACCGGGUUCCGUGACCCAGAUUACGGAAGAGGCUUAGAUAGUCCUCGUGCCAAACCAAGGUAGAAGUCACAACCAAACAGUCGUGUCUUUAAUUGGUACCUGCGGAAUUGUUCCAAGGGGGCGGUGAUUGACGCUUGAAUUAAUCCUAUACUAGGAACCGUGAGAUUAAGCCAUCGCGGCAGGUGCUCACGUUAAGCCCACUGACUUUCAUGUCCCUAUCUACUAUCUAGCGAAACCACAGCCAAGGGAACGGGCUUGGAAUAAUUAGCGGGGAAAGAAGACCCUUUUGAGCUUGACUCUAAUCUGGCAGUGUAAGGAGACAUAAGAGGUGUAGAAUA
RNAcentral lists this non-coding RNA (730 nucleotides) under Drosophila virilis. RNAcentral's name for it is "Eukaryotic large subunit ribosomal RNA". It matches the Rfam family "Eukaryotic large subunit ribosomal RNA", at positions 1974 to 2467 of the family's 3401-position model. Lineage: Eukaryota; Metazoa; Arthropoda; Insecta; Diptera; Drosophilidae. The record is from Rfam by way of RNAcentral.